AGCAGCCGCGGUAAUUCCAGCUCCAAUAGCGUAUAUUAAAGUUGUUGCAGUUAAAAAGCUCGUAGUUGAAUUUUAGGCCUGACCGGGCGGUCCGUCUCUGGCGAGUACUGUUCUGUUGUCGGGUCUAUCCUUCUGGUGAGCCGGUAUGUCCUUUGUUGGGUGUGUCGGGGAACCAGGACCAUUACCUUGAAAAAUUAGAGUGUUUAAAGCGGGCUUUUGCUUGAAUAGAUUAGCAUGGAAUAAUAGAAUAGGACGUUGGUUCUAUUUUGUUGGUCUAGGACCACCGUAAUGAUUAAUAGGGAUAGUUGGGGGCAUUAGUAUUCAAUUGUUCAGAGGUGAAAUUUACUUGGAUUUAUUGAAGACUAACUACUGCGAAAGCAUUUGCCAAGG
This 390-nucleotide ribosomal RNA is filed under the name uncultured Archaeospora. RNAcentral describes it as "SSU rRNA". It matches the Rfam family "Eukaryotic small subunit ribosomal RNA", at positions 569 to 963 of the family's 1831-position model. The record is from RNAcentral. Lineage: Eukaryota; Fungi; Glomeromycota; Glomeromycetes; Archaeosporales; Archaeosporaceae.